This 254-nucleotide ribosomal RNA is filed under the name uncultured bacterium. RNAcentral describes it as "partial 16S ribosomal RNA". It matches the Rfam family "Bacterial small subunit ribosomal RNA", at positions 524 to 776 of the family's 1533-position model. The record is from RNAcentral.
UACGUAGGGUCCGAGCGUUGUCCGGAAUUAUUGGGCGUAAAGAGCUCGUAGGCGGUGUGUCGCGUCGGCCGUGAAAACCUGUAGCUUAACUGUGGGCUUGCGGUCGAUACGGGCAUCACUGGAGUUCGGCAGGGGAGACUGGAAUUCCUGGUGUAGCGGUGAAAUGCGCAGAUAUCAGGAGGAACACCGGUGGCGAAGGCGGGUCUCUGGGCCGAUACUGACGCUGAGGAGCGAAAGCGUGGGGAGCGAACAGG